Molecule: microRNA precursor, 120 nt
Filed under: Ornithorhynchus anatinus (platypus)
Lineage: Eukaryota; Metazoa; Chordata; Mammalia; Monotremata; Ornithorhynchidae
Description: microRNA oan-mir-1331 precursor
Source: miRBase by way of RNAcentral
UGAUGGGGUGGGAGGUUGGUGUGUGUGCAGUCGGCUACAGGAUGACCGGACAAGGGAACGGAAACAGUUUAUGCUGCUAACGCGGGGCCGCUCGCAGACAGAAAUCCUGACCAUUCCACG